RNAcentral lists this ribosomal RNA (468 nucleotides) under uncultured bacterium. RNAcentral describes it as "partial 16S ribosomal RNA". It matches the Rfam family "Bacterial small subunit ribosomal RNA", at positions 28 to 507 of the family's 1533-position model. The record is from RNAcentral.
GAUGAACGCUGGCGGCGUGCUUAACACAUGCAAGUCGAACGGAAAGGUCCUGCUCUUGUGCGGUGCUCGUGUGGCGAACGGGUGUGUAACACGCGUGUAUCCCGCCCUUGUCUUUGGGAUAACUUUAGGAAACUGCGGCUAAUAUCGGAUAUGAGCUCCUGCUGCAUGGUGGGGGUUGGAAAGUUUCGGCGGUUGGGGCUGGUCUGGCGGCUUAUGAGCUUGUUGGUGGGGUAGUGGCUUACGAAGGCUUUGACGGGUAGCCGACGUGGGAGGGUGACCGGCGACAUUAGGACUGAGGUACGGACCAGACGCGUACGUGAGGCAGCAGUGGAGAACAUUACACAAUGGGCGGAAGCCUGAUGCGGCGACGCUGGGUGCGGGAUGACCGCCUUCGGGUUAUAAACCGCUUUCGCCUGUGACGAAGCGUGAGUGACGGUAAUGGGUAAAGAAGCACCGGCUAACUACGUG